UUCUAAUGUACACUGACUGUUUAGAGCAGCUGGUCUAAAAGCAUAUUCCAGUUUAUCUCUAAACUGUAAAACCACUGCGGUAAUGAUGCUGAUUCAGAUCUCAGUCUCUCACACUUUUACCAGGCAUUGCACAACAGCAGAAGGAGCUGACUGCUAAAAGUCUAUGGAAGGUCUAUGGAAGGGUUUGCAGAGGUAUGGAUGAGCCGGCCGCGGUCUCAGACAAGCCCUAAGCUGAAUGUUGCUGACGGAUGGAGGAGCCAGGCACCAGUGCUGAGAGGAACGUGAUGACGACGUAGGACGGAUGGAUGCAUGGACGGACGGCGUAGGAAUUGUGAAAAGAAGGAGGACAUAAAUAACAGUAUUUAGGCUUAUAAAUUAUAUUGGCUUUUACCAUUUCUAUGUACAGAACCCUGCCUGUUU
Molecule: long non-coding RNA, 420 nt
Organism: Gasterosteus aculeatus aculeatus (three-spined stickleback)
Lineage: Eukaryota; Metazoa; Chordata; Actinopteri; Perciformes; Gasterosteidae
Source: Ensembl